Molecule: ribosomal RNA, 567 nt
Filed under: Vibrio sp. AF4-07
Lineage: Bacteria; Pseudomonadati; Pseudomonadota; Gammaproteobacteria; Vibrionales; Vibrionaceae
Description: bacterial SSU rRNA
Rfam family: Bacterial small subunit ribosomal RNA
Source: RNAcentral
CCUACACAUGCAAGUCGAGCGGUAACAGAAAUUAGCUUGCUAAUUUGCUGACGAGCGGCGGACGGGUGAGUAAUGCCUGGGAAUAUGCCUUAKUGUGGGGGAUAACUAUUGGAAACGAUAGCUAAUACCGCAUAAUGUCUUCGGACCAAAGAGGGGGACCUUCGGGCCUCUCGCGCUAAGAUUAGCCCAGGUGAGAUUAGCUAGUUGGUGAGGUAAGAGCUCACCAAGGCGACGAUCUCUAGCUGGUCUGAGAGGAUGAUCAGCCACACUGGAACUGAGACACGGUCCAGACUCCUACGGGAGGCAGCAGUGGGGAAUAUUGCACAAUGGGCGAAAGCCUGAUGCAGCCAUGCCGCGUGUAUGAAGAAGGCCUUCGGGUUGUAAAGUACUUUCAGUAGGGAGGAAGGCGUUGUCGUUAAUAGCGGCUUCGUUUGACGUUACCUACAGAAGAAGCACCGGCUAACUCCGUGCCAGCAGCCGCGGUAAUACGGAGGGUGCGAGCGUUAAUCGGAAUUACUGGGCGUAAAGCGCAUGCAGGUGGUUCAUUAAGUCAGAUGUGAAAGCCCG